UACGUAGGGGGCAAGCGUUGUCCGGAUUUCUUGGGCGUAAAGCGCUCGCAGGGGGUUCGUUGCGUCGUGCGUGAAAGACCCCGGCUCAACUGGGGGAUGUCGUGCGAUACGGGCAGACUGGAGGCCAGUAGGGGGAUGCGGAAUUCCGGGUGUAGUGGUGGAAUGCGUAGAGAUCCGGAGGAACACCAGCGGCGAAGGCGGCAUCCUGGACUGGUCCUGACACUCAGGAGCGAAAGCGUGGGGAGCGAUCCGG
This 253-nucleotide ribosomal RNA is filed under the name uncultured bacterium. RNAcentral's name for it is "partial 16S ribosomal RNA". It matches the Rfam family "Bacterial small subunit ribosomal RNA", at positions 524 to 776 of the family's 1533-position model. The record is from RNAcentral.